UACGUAGGGGGCGAGCGUUGUUCGGAUUCAUUGGGCGUAAAGGGUGCGUAGGCGGCGCGGUAAGUCGGGUGUGAAAUCUCGGAGCUUAACUCCGAAACUGCAUUCGAUACUGCCGUGCUUGAGGACUGGAGAGGAGACUGGAAUUUACGGUGUAGCGGUGAAAUGCGUAGAUAUCGUAAGGAAGACCAGUGGCGAAGGCGGGUCUCUGGACAGUUCCUGACGCUGAGGCACGAAGGUCAGGGGAGCAAACGGG
This 253-nucleotide ribosomal RNA is filed under the name uncultured bacterium. RNAcentral's name for it is "partial 16S ribosomal RNA". It matches the Rfam family "Bacterial small subunit ribosomal RNA", at positions 524 to 776 of the family's 1533-position model. The record is from RNAcentral.